This 263-nucleotide unclassified non-coding RNA is filed under the name Melanconiella sp. RNAcentral's name for it is "partial contains 5.8S ribosomal RNA, internal transcribed spacer 2, and large subunit ribosomal RNA". The record is from RNAcentral. Lineage: Eukaryota; Fungi; Ascomycota; Sordariomycetes; Diaporthales; Melanconiellaceae.
CGCACAUUGCGCCCGCUGGUAUUCCAGCGGGCAUGCCUGUUCGAGCGUCAUUUCAACCCUCAAGCCCAGCUUGGUGUUGGGGCAUUGCCUUGUUCCCUCGGGAAGGGCAAGCCCUGAAAUCUAGUGGCGAGCUCGCCAGGACUCCGAGCGUAGUAGUUUUACCACCUCGCUUAGGACGGACUGGCGGUGCCCUGCCGUAAAACCCCCCCAAUUUAUUACCAAAGGUUGACCUCGGAUCAGGUAGGAAUACCCGCUGAACUUAA